This 256-nucleotide ribosomal RNA is filed under the name uncultured bacterium. RNAcentral's name for it is "partial 16S ribosomal RNA". It matches the Rfam family "Bacterial small subunit ribosomal RNA", at positions 1245 to 1500 of the family's 1533-position model. The record is from RNAcentral.
AGUCGCAAGACCGCGAGGUUUAGCAAGUCUCUUAAAGCCGUUCUCAGUUCGGAUUGUAGGCUGCAACUCGCCUACAUGAAGUCGGAAUCGCUAGUAAUCGCGGAUCAGCAUGCCGCGGUGAAUACGUUCCCGGGCCUUGUACACACCGCCCGUCACACCAUGAGAGUUUGUAACACCCAAAGCCGGUGGGGUAACCUUUUGGAGCCAGCCGUCUAAGGUGGGACAGAUGAUUGGGGUGAAGUCGUAACAAGGUAGC